UUGGAAGUGGAAGAAUAGGAGCGAUGGAGCAGCCGGCCAUGGCGUACAGCACCGGCGGAUGGAACGAUCGAUGGUAUGCGCCAAGCAGCAGCCCGGAGAGCCCCCCGCCAGGUAUCCAGCGGCAUCACAGCCACCGUCAUCACUACGGCAAGGAUCGCCACAGCACGGACUCGGACUCGGAUCAUCACCACCACAGACACGACCGCGGCGGCUCCGUGGAGAACCAGGGCUCGGCGGAGGGUAAGAAGAGGAGGAGCCGAUGGGAGCCCCAGCCGGAAUCCACCGGGGAAGAGGGCGGCGGCCAAAAUCCCCAGCAAAGCCAGCAGCAGCAGCUGCAACUCAUCGAUCCGCAGCGGCCGCCCGGCGGCGAUGGCAGCGGCGCCGCCGCCCCCAAGAAGAGGAAGUCGCGAUGGGCCGCGGAGGAGCCCAAGACGCUACUGGCCAAUGUGAAUUUGUCGAACUUCCCGACGAUCGAGUGGGAUCCCGAGAUGCAAGCGCUCAAUAUCAAGGUGUUGGAGCUCAACCGGAGGCUCCAAAUGGGACAGCUCUACGACGACCGGCCCGACAUGCCGAGGUCUCCAUCUCCGGAGCCCAUCUACGACAACAUGGGCAUUAGGAUCAACACAAGGGAAUAUCGAGCUCGCGAGAAGCUGACGAAGGAGCGUCACGAGCUCAUCUCCGAGAUGAUAAAGAAGAACCCACACUUCAAGCCGCCACCCGACUACAAACCUCCGAAGCUCCAAAAGAAGCUCUACAUCCCGUCGAAGGAGUACCCGGGGUACAACUUCAUAGGACUCAUCAUCGGGCCUCGCGGGAACACGCAGAAGAGGAUGGAGAAGGAGACUGGAGCGAAGAUCGUGAUCCGCGGGAAAGGGUCUGUGAAAGAAGGAAGAACGCACCAGAAGAGGGACGUGAAGCCGGAUCCGUCCGAGAACGAGGACUUGCACGUCCUGGUGGAGGCGGACACCGAGGAGGCGCUGGAGGCGGCGGCUGGGAUGGUGGAGAAGCUCCUCCAGCCGGUAGAGGAGGGGCGGAACGAGCACAAGCGAGCACAGUUGCGAGAGCUGGCGGCGCUGAACGGGACGAUCCGGGACGACGAGAGCUGCCGCCAGUGUGGACAGCUCGGGCACCGGCAGUACUGCUGUCCGGAGAAGAGCACGACUUUCAAGGCUGGGGUGGUGUGCGCGAAGUGUGGCGACGGCGGCCACCCGACGAGCGAUUGCACGCAGCAGGGACCGGCGGUGAACAAGAUGGACGGGGAGUACCAGAAGUUCCUGGUGGAGGUGAACGCCGACGGUAGCGGCGGUGGCGGCGACGCCAGCGUCGGCCGCCACACCGGGCCGACUUUGCUUCUCGGGGGACCGAGUGGUGCUCCGGGGGGCCUGACGGCGAAGCCCAAGGACGAUGAUACGAACCUCUACGUGGGCUACUUGCCGGCGACGUACGAUGACGAGUCCUUGAAGCGGCUCUUCUCGUCGUUUGGACAGAUCGAGGAGGUGAAAGUGAUCAAGGACCGAACCACCGGCGCGAGCAAAGGCUACGGGUUCGUCAAGUUCACGGACCCGGCGGCGGCGAGCCAGGCGGUGUUUAGCAUGAACGGGUGGAAGAUCGAGGACAAGACGCUGGCGGUGAGGAUCGCUGGCCGGCCCCCGGCUCCAGGCGCCCCGGCGGCGUAUGGAAUGGAUGGAAGUGGCGGCGGUGGAGCCUAUACGGCGUUUCCUCGGCCACCCGGGUCCAUGGCGGCGCCACCACCGUGGGGUCCCGGCCCGCCGCCACCUUUCAAUCCUUACGCCGCUCAGUACCCGCUGGCCCCACCGGGGACGGUCCCUCCGCCACCCUUCAACGCGUUCCCGCCGCCGGGGGUGUACGCGGUGGAUCCAGCGCCGCCGCCGCCGGGUUUCUCCCCGCCGCCAGCGUCGCAAGAGUCGCAGGGAGCGGCGUCGCAGGGGUCGGAGUUCUCGGGCUCUGCGUACCAUGGCUAUCCUCCGCAGUACUCUGGUGGCUACUACACUGGACCGCCGCCUCCGGCUGUUCCUCCGUGGGCCACGAAUGCCGCCGCGGCCGAGAACCCGCCGGCUAACCAGGUGGAGUCGGAGUACGAGCGGUUUAUGUCCGAGAUGAAGAUGAAGUAAGGCUCUCCAGGUAUGUGAUAUCUUACUCACUUCUCCGCAAUUUAUUUUUUCGUUUCGCUUACUUGGAUUUUUUAUUUUUUCUCGUGCCAUGGUUUGAUUCUUGUGCUGAUCUUGUUGUUGCUGCUAACGCCGUGCUAACUUCAACACAGUGUCGUUUUUUUUUGUUUGAAUCUGCGCAGGCUGAUGAUAGUGAUGAUGAUGAAUUUGUGUUGUUUUACUAGCGCUACGCUGUCAACAAAGAAAAGAGAGAAAGACCAAAGUGGUGGUGGGCAUGGUGGACAUGGCGCUUCUAACGAGUUUGAGAUUCGAGAAUUCUUUCCAGAGGUUUUUUCUUUAAAGUUUUUCCUUUCAUAAUCGUCUACUACAAUGGUAUGACGCUUCUAAGGCUGUGAGUGAUUAGCUUUCUCGCUGUGCUGUGCUAAUCCUUUCCAUGUUGUGUCUAACCUUGUACAGAGAAUGCUCCCUUUUUUUUUCUUUUUUUUUUCUUUUUCUGGGUUGUAGCUAAACCAUAGUUUUUUGUGUAUUGUCACCGAUGCUUGCUUGCAGCGCAGAUCUUUCCAGCCGAAAGCACGCUGAAUCAAUGAACCAACGAAAGUGGGUUGGAAAAGUGCCGCUGUAGUAGACAUUUCUUUCUGGGUGAUCCGCACGGGAGGAAAAUUACAACUUGAUUUAGGGUACUAGUUCUACUUUAAAGAAAAGGUAAAAAAGGUAUAGGUAUAUCAAAACCAAAAUUGCUUAGAAAUGUAAACGCUUGAUUUCAAUCCUCUUA
Selaginella moellendorffii is the source of this 2901-nucleotide RNA transcript. It is a transcript of the gene named splicing factor-like protein 1, with no coding region annotated. NCBI's taxonomy places the organism in Eukaryota, Viridiplantae, Streptophyta, Lycopodiopsida, Selaginellales, Selaginellaceae. The record is from RefSeq and is a predicted model, not a curated record. The transcript has 2 exons.